Long non-coding RNA from Amphiprion ocellaris (clown anemonefish), 771 nucleotides. The record is from Ensembl. NCBI's taxonomy places the organism in Eukaryota, Metazoa, Chordata, Actinopteri, Pomacentridae.
GUGCUAGCGUAUCUAGUGUAUGUGUAUCUGUGGUCGGCACGUCUGGUAGCAUCUCUGGCUGCUGUUGACCUUGUUUUUGGAGUAAAACACGGUGGAAGCUGAAUUAGUGAGGAUGACUCCUGCUCCUGUCAUCUCUAAGCUCCUCACACAUCUUUACCUGCACAUGAGGAAAAUCACUCCUGUAGAAUGCAGAUGUUCAGAGGGAGAUGAUGCCACAUCUGGUCCAGCUGAUGGAAGGUCUUGAAGUUCUCUGACUGGCCUCGACUGAAGAUGGUCGUCUCACUGGAUUUAAGAUGCACAAUGAGGGACGUCUACAGAGACUGAGAAAGAGUCUCACCACAUCCUGACAUGAGGAAAAAGACUUUAUUGAAGACUACAAUGAGAAAAACUAUCAGACAGCAGACGGCUGCAUUCAAGUUUAGGCUGUUAGAUUGUUCCAGAUAAGACAAGUACAAGAUUCUUCAGAGCCGUUCUACCACGAGCCUGACAGGAAGAACUCCAACAGCUACUGAAUGUUCCUGUGGUCCCCUCAAGGCUACAGGAGGAGCCCUACGAGGACGAGCCGGUCCACCUGAUGGCGGCCAGUCGCUGCGGUUCAAAGCCAACACCGACUACAUGGACUUCUACUGGACCACACGGAGGCCUUCAAACCGGACCAACAAGUUCAGCGACUCCCCGACUCGUGGGUCUGAGGACGCCGCCGAGCCUCGGUCCAGCCGGCCUCCUGUCUGUGGGUGUUUGAGUGCUGAGAGGUUUGUGGAUGCAUGUGAA